Molecule: ribosomal RNA, 468 nt
Filed under: uncultured bacterium
Lineage: Bacteria
Description: partial 16S ribosomal RNA
Rfam family: Bacterial small subunit ribosomal RNA
Source: RNAcentral
GACGAACGCUGGCGGCGUGCUUAACACAUGCAAGUCGAACGGAAAGGCCCUGCUUUUGUGGGGUGCUCGAGUGGCGAACGGGUGAGUAACACGUGAGUAACCUGCCCUUGACUUUGGGAUAACUUCAGGAAACUGGGGCUAAUAUCGGAUAGGAGCUCCUGCUGCAUGGUGGGGGUUGGAAAGUUUCGGCGGUUGGGGAUGGACUCGCGGCUUAUCAGCUUGUUGGUGGGGUAGUGGCUUACCAAGGCUUUGACGGGUAGCCGGCCUGAGAGGGUGACCGGCCACAUUGGGACUGAGAUACGGCCCAGAAUCCUACGGGAGGCAGCAGUGGGGAAUAUUGCACAAUGGGCGGAAGCCUGAUGCAGCAACGCCGCGUGCGGGAUGACGGCCUUCGGGUUGUAAACCGCUUUCGCCUGUGACGAAGCGUGAGUGACGGUAAUGGGUAAAGAAGCACCGGCUAACUACGUG